GCUUCUCUGCUGGGGAGCUGAGCGGGAUGCGUUCCUAACUUCUCUUUCUCUUCCAGCAAAACAACCAGUUCUGGUCAGUGGACUCCGGUAGCGUAAAGACCGGCAACGUGGGUGACGGCAGCUUUGACGACAACAAUCAAAACAACCAGUUCUAGUUAUCGCCCCCAGAAACGCGCCACCACAGCUGCCCUGAUGCUUUCUGCCCUGUGCUCUCCUGCGGGUCAGCCUGAAGAUGAGUAACACAGCACUCUCCUGUGAAAUUGACUUUUGCCAGCUCAGUGAUUUGACUGUCGGGUGCAGCUCUAACCCUCUCCUCCUCCUCAUGUCUUUGCAAUAAGGCAAAUAAAUCUAGUUCCACUCGACCCCCCCA
Molecule: non-coding RNA, 370 nt
Organism: Pelodiscus sinensis (Chinese soft-shelled turtle)
Lineage: Eukaryota; Metazoa; Chordata; Testudines; Trionychidae
Source: RefSeq, a predicted model, not a curated record